Molecule: long non-coding RNA, 1024 nt
Filed under: Vigna radiata
Lineage: Eukaryota; Viridiplantae; Streptophyta; Magnoliopsida; Fabales; Fabaceae
Description: long non-coding RNA (VRAD_LNC017842)
Source: RNAcentral
AGAUUCUGNUGUCAAAUAAAAAUUUGAUUUGAGAUUAGGUUUUGCUAUUUACCAAAAUUUUUGGUUGAGCUUGUUAACUNGGCAGAUACAGUUGAGUACAGAAUAGUAAAGAAUGAAGUGUGGGGGAAAGAGUGGUAUUGCUGAGGUGGUGCCUCGAAUGCACAAAAUGCCCUUAGCUAACUCUGAAGAUUCAAUUGAGAAAGUAAUUUAAUUUUGGUCUUUGAAGUCAUGGAGAGAGUUACAGAGCAAAGAAAAUCCAACAGCCAAAGAGAAACCUGAUUUGGAGAUUAAGGCCAAAUGGCCGAGUUGUUGACUAGGCAGAGAGGCCGAACGCUUUGAUGAGGCCUGGUGGCCGAACGGUUGAAGCCGGAUGGCCGAGUCGUUGAUGCCUAAUUUGGCUAAGCACCUGUAAAGUCAGGUUUAAGUGAGUACAUGAAAGGUGAAGCUAUGACCGAAGAUUGAGGCCGAAUGGUUGAGUUGUUGACGAAGCUGAGAGGCCGAGUCAUUGUUGUUGCCAAGAGGCCAAAUGCUUUGAUGAGGCCUAGUGGCCGAACGGUUGAUGCCGGAUGGCCGAAAGGUUAGGACCUGAGGGCCGAGACCGAGCGACUUAAGAGGUUUCUCUGAUGUUCCUGAGAACACUGCUCACCCUUUCCUUAUGGCUACAAAUGGGGAUUCGUUUUGUUCCAUCCCGACCAGGAAAACUGAUACAGGGAGAGGAGGUGGAUGUUUUAUGUCAGUCUUUAACAAGGCUAAACAUUGACCAGGCCGCUUCACUCCAUGUAUAUAGGUUCAUUCCAUGUAUAUGGGUCGGGUCAAGUCGGGUAUUAGUUAGCAAAACUAGACAUAGACAUUUAUAUGGAAAACUUCUUCACUCUUUGUAUUUAGUAGUGUACACGACUUACUUGGUCACAAACACACAUAUUAUUACCAGGCCACAAGUCGUUGUUAUCUGACUAUAGUUCUCAGCCUCUAGGGCCACUUCUUGGCGAUCCGGCCUCAACUCUCGGCCAUAAUUUUGACAUAG